Molecule: small nucleolar RNA, 77 nt
Organism: Hibiscus syriacus
Lineage: Eukaryota; Viridiplantae; Streptophyta; Magnoliopsida; Malvales; Malvaceae
Product: small nucleolar RNA snoR122
Exons: 1
Source: RefSeq, a predicted model, not a curated record
UGUCUAUGAUGCAUCAAAAUGCACGUAUUAUCAGAUCAAAUAAUGAUGAUCUGAUAAUUGUCACUACCUCUGAGACA